RNAcentral lists this ribosomal RNA (303 nucleotides) under uncultured bacterium. RNAcentral describes it as "partial 16S ribosomal RNA". It matches the Rfam family "Bacterial small subunit ribosomal RNA", at positions 507 to 808 of the family's 1533-position model. The record is from RNAcentral.
AGCAGCCGCCGCGGUAAUACGUAGGUCCCGAGCGUUGUCCGGAUUUAUUGGGCGUAAAGCGAGCGCAGGCGGUUAGAUAAGUCUGAAGUUAAAGGCUGUGGCUUAACCAUAGUACGCUUUGGAAACUGUUUAACUUGAGUGCAGAAGGGGAGAGUGGAAUUCCAUGUGUAGCGGUGAAAUGCGUAGAUAUAUGGAGGAACACCGGUGGCGAAAGCGGCUCUCUGGUCUGUAACUGACGCUGAGGCCCGAAAGCGUGGGGAGCAAACAGGAUUAGAUACCCGCGUAGUCCCUGUCUCUUAUACA